RNAcentral lists this long non-coding RNA (1387 nucleotides) under Anas platyrhynchos platyrhynchos (common mallard). RNAcentral's name for it is "lncRNA (ENSAPLG00000024872.1)". Lineage: Eukaryota; Metazoa; Chordata; Aves; Anseriformes; Anatidae. The record is from RNAcentral.
GCUGCAGAGUGAACUCUCUCCAGAAUAGCACAGGAUCCAACCAGCAGCCACUUGAGCAAGGUGACGCUUCAAAUCCCCCAGAUGUGAGAGAGUCCGUCCGUCUGAGCUUCCAGCUCCUUGGGUAAGUGUACUGCCAGCCCAACGCCAGACACGUUCCUUUAUUUCUGACCCUGGCAGCUCUUUUAGGAAGAGCGAUCAGUGAACUGCUGGGUUUUACAGAGAACCCAGUCUGUCAAUGUAUUUGAUGCCCUUGGAAUGGAUGUUUGUUUCCCCAGACUAGACAGAAUUUCGGAUGUCCAAAGAAUUGCUCAUUCAAACAAUGAAGCAAGUUAUAAUUAACCAGAUGACUGGGUCUUAAAAUGCAAUUCCAGAACUCGGUAUCUCAGGUCCAUCUAGAGCUUGUGGUGUGAGUGAGAUUUAUUCCAAACGGAUUAAGUGGAUUAAGUGAAAUUGGAACAAGACACCCUUAUUCUGGAACGAGAACAUUCAAAGACAAUGAGAAAAAGGAUUGAAUGUCUACAGUUAAUUCACCAUCUAGGUGAGUCCCGUACAGAAAACCAGUACCUAAUACUCCUUAGGUGGUUUUGCUUGUUAGGAGAAAUUUGAAUUAGGAGAUGUAGCUCAUGGCAGGUGCUGAAAUUAUCCUUAACUUGGAGUUUGCAGCAGUUGCUGAAGUUAUCCUUCAGCUUGAGAGGUUCCUGGACUGCCGGCUUAUGUAUGAAUUAGGUAAAACAGUUUAUUCCUUUUACAAGGUUCCCCCCCAUCUUUUUAGUUGUGACUGAGAGUAAAUAAAUGUAUUAAUAUUGAUUUGGUUGAAUUUUUAAAGACAUGUAUGGAUGUGGAAGAUUUCCUAAAAUCAGCGAGUUUAUUGAUUUUUUUUUUUUUUAAAUGUAUGUAUGUGUUUAAAUACAGAUAUUUAUCUCAUUUUCCUUAUCAGGAGAAGGACAGAUUAGCCUUAGGUUCAGUUUGUGCUCCACUUGCUUUGUCAGUCAUUGUGAUUGUGUGGGUAGGGGUACGGCGCUGCAUCUGCCUCUCAGGAGUACAUUCAGACUCAAAUCUUCACGAGGUAUCUGGAAGGCAGUACUACACCCUCGUCCUAUUGUCACAGACCCGUCUGCUUUUAUCCCAUGCAAGUGAACCUCUCCCAUUACAGACUUCUGCAACAAAGCCACAAGUGUCCACCUCUGCUGUAUCUCCCUUGCUCUUGGAGGUCUUCUGACAUGCUGAGCAACAUCUGAUGUCUCAGGCAAUAGGGUGAGCUGCUCAGCAGGCAUCCACACAGAUCCUGCCUUGCAAGACCUCAUCUCCUGCAGUGCCAGACCUCUCUGUGUCUCAUCUCGGAAGAAAUCUGAAUAAAUAAGCUGUUGGUAUAGAAGUGAACCUUGAG